CUGUUUCCAAAUAAUUUAGCUUCUUCAAUCUGAUAAAGUGGUUCCUUUCUUAUUUUUAGCUUCUUUUCUUCUGAAUUCUUAUACACUCUUGGCUUUUCUUUUAUAUACUAAUGAUUUCAAGUUAUAUCAAUGCUUUUUAAAUAUUCCUUAUAUUUGAGUGUUGCUGUUAUGCCCUUUUACUAUUUAUUUAUUUUUGAAUAGAUUUAUUUUUUCGAUUUGAAAAGCUGUGUGUGUGUGUAAUUCCCUUCGAAGCCCUGCCAACUCCCAACUCCCCACACCUCAUGAAGCCUAUGACUGCCUUUUGCUUUCCUUCUGCUGUUAGUUUCCAUUUGCCUCCAAUCUUGUUAACAGUGUGUCCACAAGGUGGAGGUCAAGCUAAGACUUCCUCAACUGUUCCCGCUGCCUCAAGGAAAGAUUCUCAAAGCCACCAGCUUGGGCAUGCCAUUCUCUAUUCUUACCAGAAAAGCAGCAGCAGCAACAAUGAAAAUAAUAGAAGAGGAUCGCAAACUCCUCCAAGAAGUCAAAGUGAUUCUUUCAAAAGCUUCCGUGACACCCAUAACAACUUAUCAAGAUUUGGAGAGCUUUUCUAGGAAUCCCUCCAGGAGCUGGUGUUUAAAGGUAGAGAGGAUCAUAAAAUCGAGGAUUGAGAGCAGAAGCAAGGCAAUGCAUUGGAAUGUUCAUCUUUUCCCAUCUUGCUAACAUAAUUGUUUCCAUAUGAGGGUAGGAAGCUGCAUAUUUAUUUUUCAUCAUUAUAUCUUUUAUUUCUCCAAUCAUGUUGUCCAUCCUUUCAUAAAUCUCCCCCAUUUUUGGACCUUCGCCAUCGCUGAAUUUGAUUAGGAAAUAGAUUGGCUUGGUAAUUGCAAAAACACUUUUAACAUCUUCCCAAAACUCUUCACUGAUUAUUGUUUCAGCAACUAAAGGUCCUAUCUUCCUUGUAUUUUCAUCUCCAUGUUUCACCCAUUCUUUCCAUGCCUUAAGAAUAAUGGUGGUUUGUAGAGCCUCUUUGCAAUCAAGCAGCCACUUCAAUAAGAUAUAGUGUGAAGCAAAUCUGGUCUUUGUAACUUUUAGCAAUUUUAGCCUUGACUGAGUUUUGAAAAUUGCUAAAGCUUGUGAAUGAUUAAUGAAAUAUUUGACAAUGGUUUUUCCCUUUUUAUAUGUGCUUGAUAACCAAUCAAAUGUACUGGCAAAAUCUUUAAAAACUAAAUUCAGAGUGUGAACUACACAGGAGGACUAGAAAAUAUGUUUAUGUACCUUCUCUAUCUCCUUCCCAGCUGCUUUGCAAUUUGAUACAUUAUCGGUCACCACUUGGAGAACAUUUGAUGGCCCUACUUCUUCAAUUGCUUUCAACAAAUACUUUGCUAUAACAGAACCAGUUUUUUCUUUUCCUGAACAUUGCUCCAUGACUGUUUGCUGCAAUGACAUUGAUAAGUGGUCGGUGCUUGACAUUAGACCAUCUAUCCGAAAUAAUAGACACCCCUUGAGUGUACCAGGUAUCUUUUAUUGGACUCAGGUCUUUUGCAACACUUCUUUUGCACUCAUCUAGUAGUGUUGUCCUUGCCUUUUCAAAUGAGGGAGCUUUAUAACCUUUAGGGGCUUUGUUAAUUGCUGAAACCAUCUCAUUGAAUUGAGAAUUAUGCAGCACAUUGAAGGGAAUGCCAUUAGCACACAACCCUCUCAUUACCUUCAUAUCAACUGCAUUCCACUCUAUUAUUCCAAGGGAAUCUUCAAUACCUUUAGCAGGAAGUUCUUUACUUUUUUUGCUGAUUGUAGAACUUUUUAAAGGUGAUGACAGACCUGCCUUCUCUGCUUCUUCAACCUUCCUUCUCACUCUUUCAUAUUCAGCCCGGUUGCUAAGAAGUGCUGGGCAACGUUGAAUUUGUGCCUUCAUCCCAGGUGGACCAAAAAAGCGAUAAUGUAUUCUAGUAUAGGAACUUGUGAAUCUCUUUUUGCAAUGUUUACAUGACCAUUGCUUUGAACCCCAGAAUUCUUUCUGGGCAUUGCACCGUGAAUAACAACUUCAUCUAGCAAUGGCUUUAAUUUUAAAUCUAUUGCUUUUGUGGGUGCAAAUAAUGGUAUUGAUUUUUGAGUUGGUUGAGUUUGGUCAAUUUCUUGAUAAUCAUCACUUGAAUCUUCUUGCUCUCCAUCUGUUUCUUCUUCAGAUAAAAGCUCAUUUAAUUUUCUUUUCUGGUACACCAUUUUUCAACAAGAGAAAGAUGAUUUUUAGUUUGAUGGAAAGGACAAAGGAGUUUUGGUUGGGCGUAAUUUGGACUACCUGGAGAAGAGGAGGGAGACAGGCCUAUGGAGGGGCGGCUGGAAGAAUAUAAUAAUAUAUAUGACUCUCCUUUUUAUUCCACUAGUAUUGAUCAACGUGAAUCCUUUACUAUAAUUUAUUCUGACUAAUACCAGCAAGCAAAGUCUUUCAAUUCCAAUGACUUUUAAAUGCAAGCAAAGUCUUUCAAUUCCAAUGACUUUUAAAUGCUUAAUUUGCUUCGCUAUAAUCCCCUAUCUUAUCAUAUUUUUCUUUCCAAUAGGAAGGAGGGAGAUAGGCCUAUGGAGGGGUGGCUGGAAGAAUAUAAUAAUAUAUAUGACUCUCCUUUCUAUUUCACUGAUAUUGAAAGUCCAUGUGAUUCUUUUUCUAUGAUUUAUUCUAACUAAUACCAACCAAGCAAAGUCUUUCAAUUCCAAUGACUUUUAAAUGCUUUAUUUGCUUUGCUGUAAUCCCCUAUCUUAUUAGAUUUUUUCAAGUUCCAAUGACUUUUAAAUGCAUAUUGGGAUUCACCUCCGGUAUAUGCCCAGAGAAAUCAGUCUACGGAGGGUGAAGCCUUCAUCUCCUGUAAUCCAAACCUCUCAGUGCAUAUCAACUUUAUACGAAAUUUUCUAUUUAUCUCGAAUUCAGGUUCUCUCCUCUCUAUGGUUAUUUUUCUGGUAAAAGUUUGUAUAGUGUUUGGGUCGCCAAUUUCAGCGAAUUGGGAUGCGUAUCGCAGCGUUUUGGUACGUAAACGUGCUGCGAAUUGGGACGCGAGAUCCAGUACGCGAUUCCAGGGGAGUAGGACGAAUCUGGGGAAGCGUUUGGAUGAUGAUGAUGUCAACCAUACUCUUGAUCGGAUUAUCUUGGAAGCAAAUGCAAACACCAUUGCUGGAGAGGUUGCAACUGGCAACUAAUGCCGUUGAUGGUGUUGUUCCAAUUUCUGAGCAGGCAAUGUCUCAAGCCCUUGCUACACCAAGAGAGCAUGUACCAAGAUCUCUUCUGAAAUGAUGGGAAUACAGGAAGAAGAACAGCUAUCACCAUCAUUGCCAUUGUUGUUCUGAAGACCAGUGACCUGCAUAACCAUAGCCAGAACUUCAUCAUCAUCCUCUUCUUUUGAGGAACAUGCAAAUGUGCUGCAAGUUUUAAAGAGUAGAAAACUGGUUUUCAUAGUUUUGGAAGCAGUCCGUUGAAGACUAAAAUUGACAGGAUAAAAUGGCGUAUACGGGAAAUUUUAGAUUACCUAUAUGGAAUUGCAAGGUGAUUCAUAUUGUUGGUGUGCUGGACUUGUUUACUACUUCCUGCGGUGUUUCCCAGACUUGAUUUUACGCUCUCCAAAAGAAAAAGGAGACAAAUGGAUUACAUGUUGAUACAGCUGUGUUUUCUCAAAAUUAUGAGU
Molecule: non-coding RNA, 3644 nt
Organism: Elaeis guineensis (African oil palm)
Lineage: Eukaryota; Viridiplantae; Streptophyta; Magnoliopsida; Arecales; Arecaceae
Source: RefSeq, a predicted model, not a curated record